This 506-nucleotide ribosomal RNA is filed under the name uncultured bacterium. Its description in RNAcentral is "bacterial SSU rRNA". It matches the Rfam family "Bacterial small subunit ribosomal RNA", at positions 29 to 518 of the family's 1533-position model. The record is from RNAcentral.
AACGAACGCUGGCGGCGCGUCUUAAGCAUGCAAGUCGGACGGCAAGGGUUGUGCUUGCACAACUCCUAGAGUGGCGGACUGGUGAGUAACGCGUGGGCGACCUGCCCUCGAGAUGGGGAUAGCCAUUAGAAAUAGUGGAUAAUACCGAAUACGCUCAUGACCCUGUGGGAUAUGAGGAAAACAGGCUACGGCCUGGCUCGAGGAUGGGCCCGCGUCCCAUUAGCUAGUUGGUGAGGUAACGGCCCACCAAGGCGACGAUGGGUAUCCGGCCUGAGAGGGUGUACGGACACAUUGGGACUGAGAUACGGCCCAAACUCCUACGGGAGGCAGCAGCUAAGAAUAUUCCGCAAUGGACGAAAGUCUGACGGAGCGACGCCGCGUGGAUGAAGAAAGGGCCGGAAGGUUGUAAAAUCCUUUUGCUGAUGAAGAAUAAGUGUGGUAGGGAAUGACCGCAUGAUGACAUUAGUCGGUGAAUAAGCCCCGGCUAACUACGUGCCAGCCGCAGC